RNAcentral lists this long non-coding RNA (886 nucleotides) under Zonotrichia albicollis (white-throated sparrow). RNAcentral's name for it is "lncRNA (ENSZALG00000010377.1)". The record is from RNAcentral. Lineage: Eukaryota; Metazoa; Chordata; Aves; Passeriformes; Passerellidae.
CAGGGCUGCCUUUUCCUUUGUUAAUGUUUGAUUCUUUUUAAUGAUUUCAGAUUAAAAUGUGAUUAUUUUCAAUUAGUAGUUGCACUUCUUAAUUACGGAGAUGAAUUAGAUUGCUGUUCAUUAUUAAUUAGAUUUUAACUUUGCACUGAUUACAUCUUCUAUCAGUCACUUCCCACACUCCUUUCCUUCCCUUUCCAUCCAAACUCCCUCUCCCCCUGUGCCACCCCAAACCCCACUGGUUUCCUGCUCCCCUGCAGCAUCCUGGGGGUUUAAAAGCUGCCUAGAAAAUAGAAAUCAAUGUUAUCGGCUCACAGGCUGCAACUGCCUCCUUCAAAGGGCCAAUAACACCAACCAGAUGAUGUCAUUUUGUGGCUAAAAACCAUUAAAAGGAAGCAUUAAUAUUCUGCCUCCCUCCAACACUGGCUGGAUGAGAAACUAUUCCCUAAUUGCCUGCUGGGGUGGAUCUGCUCUUCCAGUGAGCAGAAGGGACCUGAUCCCCUCACCCCUGCUGCCCUGCUUGUGUCCUCUGUGUUCCCCAGGUGUGACCGUCUCGUGCCCCUUGGUGAAAUGUCGACAAUCCUGAAAUGGUUUGGACGGGAGGAUAAGGAGAAAGAGGAGGACAGGAAAGAGAAGGAAGAGAAGGAGAAGGAAAAGACUGAGGGAGAAAAGGAGAAGGAGAAGCAGAAGAGGAGGAAGAAGGAAGAAGAAAAGGUAGGGGAAUGAUGGAGUUUUCUGCAGAACCAUUGACAUCCUGGCUGUAAGAGGAAGCCACAUCUGAGCCAUGGCAAACCUGUAACAGAUGGAGCUGUGCUGCCCACAGCCUAGAAAUCCCAGUGUCCAUGGCUUUUCCACAAUUUGCUCCCAGCAUUCCUACUUAGAUCUCCCU